AUGGGAGGGGGGAAUCAGACUGAGCAGUCUCUCUCUGCAUUCAAAACGUCUAUGAACAUUGUUGAAACACCAUGUGACUGUGUGAUUGUUUUGCAUUUCUGGAAAUUGCUCUGCAAGGUGCUGGGCGAUAGCGAAAGCCAGCCCCUGGCGUUGCACGGCUCCCAGCACCGCUGCACUGUCACACCAGGAGCUUUGUUGUACAAAGAAAGCACAACUGGAGUCUGCUGCUUUGUCCCUAUUAUAAGCAGCUUUUCUGCAAUCAACAACCGAUCACCAUCAGAGCAGGGUAGCAUCAGAUUUCGGGAGGAAGAUGCAAUGGGAUGGUGCAGCUCAGGGAUGCUCCUUGCAAAAGGGCAGUUCAAUUAAGGAAAUGAGGGAUACCUUGUCAAAGGACUGCUCUUUUUGGGGAGGAGUUCCCCUCUCCGAGAUUCCUGUGCCAAAUCUAAAACUGCCUGGAGCUUCUGUUGUACAAAUCCCCACCCAUCCUUCUGCCCAGCCAGAAACACCGGUGCCUCAUCAAUGUGCAUGUGGCCCUGUGCAGGCCCAAAGGUACAGGCAAGCUUGGUUUUCCUGGUUUUCCUCACCUCCUUCUUGCCUGUAGGUCAGAACAUCAGACAUGCGUUGCUCUACAGACUGCAACCUGGAGCCCUACCAGCAGCACAGCUACUGGUUUUACAUCUAAGGCAAGACUCAUUGCCAAGAAAAAUCUCCUAGAAAGUCCUGCGCGCCUGCUUUUAUUCCUCACACUGCUGGGUGAUGUGUCCCGUGAGCAGCUCAGCCCUCCCUGCUUUUAAUGACCGUGCUGCCAGGGCUUGCUCCCCACUGUAGUCUCUUGCUGGCAAAAAUCUGGCAGGGAUUUGCCUUACUACUGCUUGGAUGGUGUUGAGGUGAAUAAAAGUGUAGCUGCUGGUGCUACCGUGCUCCUCUGGGCACAGAGGUCGGAGCAGUUGCUGUGUGAGUGGGGCCGGGAGGGGAUGGCACUGGCUGCCCACGGGGUUGUCCCUGCAUCCUGGAUUUGGGAAUGGCCUGGCUCUGGGCUGAGCAAGCCAUGGCAAUUUUCACCCCAUUUGUCAGGCAAGGACACUAAAGCACAAAAAUGCUCAGGAUGGGCUUUUUCCAAAAGCAUCUGGUGAUUUUGGGCUAGCUAUGGAUUAACCUGCCAUUUUCUCUCAGGUGGGUCACCUCACCGGCUGCCUCAGAAAAAGCUGGCUCCAUCAAUUUGCCCGCAGCUGCCCAGAUAACCGGCAGCAGACAUAAACAGAAGCCAGACCCCAGAGGCACAGUCCUGUGAUGCAAACCUGAGAUCGUCCUUCCUUUUUUAGGAGCUAAUCCUUUGUCCUUGCAGCAAGAGGCAUAAAUGCGAUUUUUUUUUACACAUCACUGUGUGUUUAAUGUUUAACAGUGGGAUCAUUACGGUUUUAUUAGCAGUAUGUAAUGCUUUUUCAUCUUCAACUGACUUUGCAAACAUUAACUAAUUGAUUUCAACUAUGAAUUGGCAUGGUGGUAACUAAGAGAAGUGAUCUGCUCCUGGCCGCAGAGGAAGUCGUCGUGAGAACAGGGUGCAGAAAGCAGGGCUCCCGGUGUGCUGCUUGGACCGCCAACGCCGGCGUUUUUCUUACAGCCAUUUCCAGCGGUGCUGUUUUCAGGGAGGGCCGUUCCGCGUGCGAUAAGCAAGCCUCGUCUGUCUCUUUCAGCUCCUGGUUGAGCUGGACAAAAUGUUGUAUGUCUUGCUGAACCCCGUAAAUUGCUGAUUUUAAAAAAAAAGAAAAGAAAAAAGGAAAAAAAAAAAGAAAAAAAAAGAAAAAAAGGAAAAAAAAAAAAGAAAAAAAACGAAAAAAAAGAAAAAAAAGAAGGAAAAAAAAGGUGAUUGACUCAGUUUUCUUAUGUGAUCCAUUGGUUGCUGGUUGUUUCCAGCUCGCCCUGACCAAGUGCAUAAUUAAAAUGUAAAAAUUUUAUAAAAAUUCGUGGGAAUUAGAUCCUAAAGUCAGAAAUUGCUUGCGAUCAGACAGCGCUAUCUUAAAGACAGGGCUGCCUUGAAGCACCCUGAAGACGUCCCCCCGGACACGAGCCGCAGGUCCGCAGCGCGCCCGCACGCUUUGCCCCCUCCUCUCCCUCACGCUGCGCCCCUUCCCCGUCGCGACGGCGGCUUGGGGGGGCAGCGGGGGCGCAGCGGGGUGACACAGCCCGCCGCUUCGGGGUCUGCGGGGACAGAGGGGACGGGGAGGGAGGCGACGGGCUUUGGGGGGGGGGGGGGACCCGAGGGGCCGCGCUGCCCCCGGUGCGCGGUGCC
Molecule: long non-coding RNA, 2290 nt
Filed under: Cairina moschata (Muscovy duck)
Lineage: Eukaryota; Metazoa; Chordata; Aves; Anseriformes; Anatidae
Description: domestica (muscovy Duck (domestic type)) lncRNA (ENSCMMG00000008023.1)
Source: RNAcentral